RNAcentral lists this ribosomal RNA (292 nucleotides) under uncultured bacterium. RNAcentral's name for it is "partial 16S ribosomal RNA". It matches the Rfam family "Bacterial small subunit ribosomal RNA", at positions 505 to 796 of the family's 1533-position model. The record is from RNAcentral.
GUGCCAGCAGCCGCGGUAAAACGUAGGACACGAGCGUUAUCCGGAGUUACUGGGCGUAAAGGGCGUGCAGGCGGUUUUGUAAGUUUGAUGUGAAAGCGCCCGGCUUAACCGGGCGAGGACAUUGGAGACUGCAAGACUAGAGGCAGAUAGAGGGGUGUAGAAUUCCGGGUGUAGUGGUGAAAUGCGUAGAGAUCCGGAGGAAUACCAGAGGCGAAGGCGGCACCCUGGGUCUGACCUGACGCUGAGACGCGACAGCAUGGGGAGCGAACGGGAUUAGAAACCCCCGUAGUCC